This 70-nucleotide transfer RNA is filed under the name Ictidomys tridecemlineatus (thirteen-lined ground squirrel). RNAcentral's name for it is "Spermophilus tridecemlineatus (thirteen-lined ground squirrel) tRNA". It matches the Rfam family "tRNA". From Rfam's summary of the family: Transfer RNA (tRNA) molecules are approximately 80 nucleotides in length. Their secondary structure includes four short double-helical elements and three loops (D, anti-codon, and T loops). Lineage: Eukaryota; Metazoa; Chordata; Mammalia; Rodentia; Sciuridae. The record is from Rfam by way of RNAcentral.
GGGGCCAUAGCUCAGUUGGUAGAGCACUUGCCUUGCAUGCUUGAGGCCCUGGGUUCAAUCUCCAGCACCA